This 187-nucleotide small nuclear RNA is filed under the name Trichobilharzia regenti. Its description in RNAcentral is "U2 spliceosomal RNA". It matches the Rfam family "U2 spliceosomal RNA". Rfam says of the family: U2 is a small nuclear RNA (snRNA) component of the spliceosome (involved in pre-mRNA splicing). Complementary binding between U2 snRNA (in an area lying towards the 5' end but 3' to hairpin I) and the branchpoint sequence (BPS) of the intron results the bulging out of an unpaired adenosine, on the BPS, which initiates a nucleophilic attack at the intronic 5' splice site, thus starting the first of two transesterification reactions that mediate splicing. The record is from Rfam by way of RNAcentral. Lineage: Eukaryota; Metazoa; Platyhelminthes; Trematoda; Strigeidida; Schistosomatidae.
AUUGUUCGUCUGAGCUAAGAUCAUGUGUAGUGUCUAUUCUUUGCAGUGUGAUUUCUGCAACAGUCUCUAAACUAAGACCGAUGAAAUUACUUGUAUUAUUCCCUUAAGGACGGGAGCUGUGUGCAUGUUCAGCCCCGUCCAAGGGUCGGCCGUGUAUUGCAUUAUCUCGAGGAUUGGCAAACUAGUU